UCCCCAAUCACAUUCCCUGGAUAAGAGAACAAUAUAGACUUUCCCAUUUCUCCCUAUCUAUCCCAUUGCCCUUCCAUUCCUCCUCCAGCACAUAAUACAUUCGACAUUUUCAUUUUCAUUUUCCUCCUCCAAGCUAACUGCAAAUUAGCAAUGGCAGCCACAACCAUAGCAACAAUGGCGAUGCUAAAUGCCAAGUGCAUUUCAUCAUCCUCAUCAUCAUCUCCCAAACCCCAAUUGAUCAAUAACAAUCUUAAUUCCAAGUCCACUAAACUACCCAUCUGCCUCCAAAACCUCCCAAAACCCCUCACCGGCCUUCAAUUGACAACUUCAUCACUAGCUGGAACCGCCAUAGCCGGUGCAAUAUUUUCAACCCUGAG
This 377-nucleotide long non-coding RNA is filed under the name Panax ginseng (ginseng). RNAcentral's name for it is "long non-coding RNA (PGIN_LNC006993)". Lineage: Eukaryota; Viridiplantae; Streptophyta; Magnoliopsida; Apiales; Araliaceae. The record is from RNAcentral.